Molecule: unclassified non-coding RNA, 615 nt
Filed under: Chaetogastra mollis
Lineage: Eukaryota; Viridiplantae; Streptophyta; Magnoliopsida; Myrtales; Melastomataceae
Description: Tibouchina mollis partial may contain 26S ribosomal RNA, external transcribed spacer, 18S ribosomal RNA
Source: RNAcentral
AGGCUUGUUCGGGUUGCGUCUCGAUCGUCCGGUCGCUCCUCCUUCCGGAGGUUGCGUCGGUUGGUCGGACCAUAUCUCGGGCAGUGUUGGGACGACGCAUGAGUGGCAAUCAGGAUAGGUUCCCUUUGCAGGCUCCCUGCUUCUCGCAUCGAACUGCAUUGGUCCUUCCCUUUCAUUUGAUCGCUCGCCUCGAUGGCCCGAGGGUCGGUCGCGAGUGAUGGGUGGGUUCCUGUGCUUGAUACCGGAUUUCGGUACUCGGAUUCAAUGUUGUUGUCCACGUCUUGGUUUCCCUUGUUCCUCCUCCGCCUCCUGCGCGUUGGUGGUUGUCGCGCGGGCAUCGAUGCUUUCCGUCCGGGCGGUCGUCCACCUCUGGGCGCUUCCGCUCGUGUCGGCGCGUCGAUGCCGUCCGCGUGCUCUUGGGUACGGAGAUAUCUCUUGUUAUCGCGCGGCCCUCUGUCGGCCGUUGCGAUCUCGACGUGUCGAAGCUUCUUUGCUUCCGCUCGGGUGACCCUCGUGCUUUCCUUGGCCCUCACGGAGAAUCUCCUCUCCGCGUUCGUCCUUGGGAGGCAUCGAGGUGUACAAUGGAAUGCUACCUGGUUGAUUCCUGCCAGUAGU